GUUUUUAUAUCUAAAUAUUAAUGAAAAGUAUUCUUUUUUGUAAUUUCUUUUUAGAGAAGGCGAACAUAAUCCAAAAAAGAGUGGGUUUAGUAACGUGGGGUUUUGUCUUUUUUUGUUUUUAUUGUACUUCCAAAAAAAAAGUAGGCCAAUUUGCAUACAAAAUUUACAAAUUUUGAGUUUUUGUAAAACUCGGCCGUCUUUUUCGAUUUUGCAAAUUGGGUUCGAAUUUUUACUAAACUGACCAAAAUAUUUUUAUACAUUUUUCUCUCUUCUUUGUUUUUUAUCGCGUUCUUUUUUGUUUCUUGCCGAAAAAAGCGACAGAGACGAAGGCGGAAACGGUCCCCACCAUCUCUGCACCUCACACUCUCACCCUCGCCCGCACACCCCUCGCCCUACUCUUCUCCGACCCCACCAAAGCAGUGCUGCGACCUUUUUUUUUUUUUCUUUCUGACCCUCCUCUACUGCCUCCAUGAUCCUCCGAAACGAUAAAGAGAAUGGCACCACGUUUUCUUCCUCCGACUACGCCCUCCGCCUUCAUUUUAAAGGGUGCAUACGUUUUACCUUUUGUUCUCUAGUGUUUUGAAUUUAGUUCCAAACUGCAUUAGUGGUACACGAAGGUACACGUAUCCACGUGUCAUUGCUUUUGUAGGAUCUGACUCGUUGAUGUCCUUGUCGUAGAACUAUUAUAAUAUGUAAUUAUAAAUGGAGUAAAAUAUAUAUAAUUAUAAGGAAUAAUUUCAUAGAUGCCCCUCUAGAAACUAUUAAUUUCAUCAAUACCCUUCCAAAAUUAAUAAUAUCACAAAUACCCUCCAAAAUGUGAAAAAUUAUCAUAAAUACCCUCCUCUAGUUAAGAUUCAUUAAAGCCCAUUUGAAUCGGAGUUAAAUUUUUAAAAUACCAUUUUUACCCUUUAUCUCUUUUUAAUAGUAGAAAUACUAAUAGGUAUUUCAAAAUAAUUUUUGUAAAUCUAAAUUUGAGUAUUUAAUAUAUAAAUAGUUAAUUAAAUUAUUAAUAUAUAUUAAUUAAUAAAAAAUAUAUAAAAAUUGUAUUUUAAAUAUAGUAUGUUUUUAUCUGAUUUUGGUUUUGUUUUUGGUUUUGGGUUUCGGUUCAGAUUCGGUUUAAAUAUAGACCAAAACUAUAUAACUGAAUUUACAUACGACGGGAUUUUAUUUUUUGGUAUCUAUAACUAAAACUAUCCCCUAUUCAGCAUUGAUUAAACUUAUCCCAUUUUAAAUCGAGUUUAGAUAAAAUUCCGUAUCUAUAUCAAUUCACAUUCCUAAUUAGUAAUAGUAAUUUUGAAAUAAAUUAUAGAUUUUAUUUUUUUCCUAUUUAAAAAUAAAUCACAUAAUUGUUUUGUCGAUUGAAAUAAAAAGAGAGUUUUGUUCAAAAGCUAAAAUAUAUUAUAUUUCAGUUUUUUAAUACACUUAAUGCAGAUAAAAUUAUCGAGAAUAAUUUUGAUUAAAAAAAUUUUUAAGUUUUCAAGAUUAAAGAAAGAUCGGAUAAUUCCUUAACAUUAUUUUCAUUUAAAUUUUAUAUAUAGUUAUUUAUUUGAUAAAAAAUAAAUAGAGCCAUUAGAUUUGGUAAAAUCAUCAAAAAAAACUAAAAAAUUCUUUUUUUUUUAUACACUGAAAUUAGGUUUUUUUUAUAAAUAAAAAGUUAAUGGGGUAUCAACUAAAAAAUGAAAGUUGAGGGAGCUGUUUCAAAAUGCAUAUAGUUGAGGGGGUUUCCACACAUUUUUAGUUAAAAGAUAUUUGAGGGUAAAUAAGUCAUUUUAAAAAUUAACCCAUCUUUAACCAUGUAAUAACUAUAGUAAAACUAACCUAACUAACAGUAGGGGUAUUAAUGAUAAUUUUUUGUGUUUAUAGGGGUAUUGGUGAUAUUUUAAACUUUAUAGGGGCAUCUAUGAUAUUUUAAACUUUGGGAGGGGUAUCCAUGAAAUUGCCCCUAAUUAUAAUUAGGAUAAAUUUUAAAUAUUAUUUAUGUCAUUUCGUAUUUUUUUCGCUUUAGUACUUUAUGUUUCAAAAUGUAUCAAUUCAGUAUCUUUGAUUAUUUGUCUUUUCGUCGUCCCCUCCGGUAACGUUUCAUUAAAUCAUAUACAAAAAAUUUUAGAUAUUCCAUCUAUAGUUUAUCAAAUAUUUACUUUAAUACUUUUUAAUUUUAACUUUCUCACUGAUUUAAUAAAAAAAAUUAAUAAAGGGUAUAACAAAAAAAAAAAAAUUAUAGAAUAUGAAAAUGAUAUACUUUAAACCACACGAUAUUAAAAUAAAAAAGUACGAAAUUACAGAAAUGAUAUUUUAAUUUUUUUUUAUAAUUAUUAUAUAUCUCAUUUAGUUGAAUAUAGUAAAAAAUAGAG
Molecule: long non-coding RNA, 2351 nt
Filed under: Ananas comosus (pineapple)
Lineage: Eukaryota; Viridiplantae; Streptophyta; Magnoliopsida; Poales; Bromeliaceae
Description: long non-coding RNA (ACOM_LNC004895)
Source: RNAcentral